Molecule: ribosomal RNA, 481 nt
Filed under: Bacteroides sp. canine oral taxon 183
Lineage: Bacteria; Pseudomonadati; Bacteroidota; Bacteroidia; Bacteroidales; Bacteroidaceae
Description: bacterial SSU rRNA
Rfam family: Bacterial small subunit ribosomal RNA
Source: RNAcentral
GAGUUUGAUUCUGGCUCAGGAUGAACGCUAGCUACAGGCUUAACACAUGCAAGUCGAGGGGCAGCAUUAUCUUAGCUUGCUAAGAUAGAUGGCGACCGGCGCACGGGUGAGUAACACGUAUCCAACCUUCCGGUUACUCGGGGAUAGGCUUUCGAAAGAAAGAUUAAUACCCGAUGUUGCGUAUCUUUCUCCUGAAAGAUACGCCAAAGGAUUCCGGUAACCGAUGGGGAUGCGUUCCAUUAGGCAGUUGGCGGGGUAACGGCCCACCAAACCUUCGAUGGAUAGGGGUUCUGAGAGGAAGGUCCCCCACAUUGGAACUGAGACACGGUCCAAACUCCUACGGGAGGCAGCAGUGAGGAAUAUUGGUCAAUGGACGCAAGUCUGAACCAGCCAAGUAGCGUGAAGGAUGACUGCCCUCUGGGUUGUAAACUUCUUUUAUACGGGAAUAACAUGAGGUACGCGUACCUUAUUGCAUGUACCG